AUGAACGCUAGCGGCGUGCCUUAUGCAUGCAAGUCGAACGGUUCCGAUUUAUCGGGAUAGUGGCGAACGGGUGAGUAACGCGUAAGUAACCUGCCCUCAAGUAGGGGAUAACUCUGAGAAAUUGGAGCUAAUACCUUAUGUGGUGAUGGAGAUAGUACUUCAUCACUAAAGCCUUAGGGCGCUUGAGGAUGGGCUUGCGUCCGAUUAGCUAGUUGGUAGGGUAAUGGCUUACCAAGGCGAUGAUCGGUAGCUGGUUUGAGAGGAUGGUCAGCCACACUGGGAUUGAGAACGGCCCAGACUCCUACGGGAGGCAGCAGCAAGGAAUAUUGUGCAAUGGGCGAAAGCCUGACACAGCGACGCCGCGUGGGGGAUG
Molecule: ribosomal RNA, 373 nt
Filed under: uncultured bacterium
Lineage: Bacteria
Description: bacterial SSU rRNA
Rfam family: Bacterial small subunit ribosomal RNA
Source: RNAcentral